Molecule: ribosomal RNA, 412 nt
Filed under: uncultured microorganism
Description: bacterial SSU rRNA
Rfam family: Archaeal small subunit ribosomal RNA
Source: RNAcentral
GCGCAGCAGUCGAGAAACUUCACAAUGUGCGAAGGCACGAUGAGGGAAUCCCAAGUGCUUGCACGUAAGUGUAAGCUGUUUCUCUGUCUAAAACGCAGAGAGAGUAAGGGCUGGGUAAGACGGGUGCCAGCCGCCGCGGUAAUACCUGCAGCUCGAGUGGUGACCGUUAUUAUUGGGCCUAAAACGUCCGUAGCCGGUUUAAUAAAUGCCUGGGUAAAUCGGACCGCUUAACGGUUCGAAUUCCGGGUAGACUGUUAAACUUGAGACCGGGAGAAGUUAGAGGUACUCCUGGGGUAGAGGUGAAAUUCUGUAAUCCUAGGGGACCACCAGUGGCGAAGGCGUCUAACUAGAACGGGUCUGACGGUGAGGGACGAAGCCCUGGGGCGCAAACGGGAUUAGAUACCCCUGUAGU